GCGGGUCUGCGACGGGCUGGAGGUCGCCUCCGGCGGCGAACUGGCCCUGGCCGAGGCGGCCGGGGCCCGCCGGAUCGUGUUCGGCGGCCCGGCC
This 94-nucleotide transfer RNA is filed under the name Catellatospora sp. TT07R-123. Its description in RNAcentral is "tRNA-Arg". Lineage: Bacteria; Bacillati; Actinomycetota; Actinomycetes; Micromonosporales; Micromonosporaceae. The record is from RNAcentral.